RNAcentral lists this transfer RNA (71 nucleotides) under Ovis aries (sheep). It matches the Rfam family "tRNA". Rfam says of the family: Transfer RNA (tRNA) molecules are approximately 80 nucleotides in length. Their secondary structure includes four short double-helical elements and three loops (D, anti-codon, and T loops). Lineage: Eukaryota; Metazoa; Chordata; Mammalia; Artiodactyla; Bovidae. The record is from Rfam by way of RNAcentral.
UUCUGGUGGCUCAGAUGGUAAAGCAUCUGCCUGCAAUGCGGGAGACCCGGGUUCAAUUCCUGGAUCGGGAA